CCCUUAGAUGUUCUGGGCCGCACGCGCGCUACACUGACGAAUGCAACGAGCUUAUAACCUUGGCCGAAAGGUCUGGGUAAUCUCCAAAUUUCGUCGUGAUGGGGAUAGAUUAUUGCAAUUAUUAAUCUUCAACGAGGAAUGCCUAGUAAGCGCAAGUCAUCAGCUUGCGUUGAUUACGUCCCUGCCCUUUGUACACACCGCCCGUCGCUCCUACCGAUUGAAUGGUCCGGUGAAGCGCUCGGACCGCGGCCUCUUGACGGUUUUCCGUCGAUUGGCUGUGGGAAGUUCGUUAAACCUUAUCAUUUAGAGGAAGGAGAAGUCGUACCA
Molecule: ribosomal RNA, 327 nt
Filed under: uncultured eukaryote
Lineage: Eukaryota
Description: partial 18S ribosomal RNA
Rfam family: Eukaryotic small subunit ribosomal RNA
Source: RNAcentral